This 86-nucleotide unclassified non-coding RNA is filed under the name soil metagenome. RNAcentral's name for it is "partial internal transcribed spacer 1". The record is from RNAcentral.
CUGUGAUUUAAACAUUCUACACUUGCGUGAGCGCAACUACAACACGAAAAGCUAUGUACUAUUGUCAACAACAACAAACCAAAACA